RNAcentral lists this unclassified non-coding RNA (375 nucleotides) under Hevea brasiliensis (rubber tree). The record is from RNAcentral. Lineage: Eukaryota; Viridiplantae; Streptophyta; Magnoliopsida; Malpighiales; Euphorbiaceae.
GUGUACAUGAGUUUGAGCUAAUAUAGUCCUGUUGGCUGUUUACCUUGAAGGAAGUCCUUUCUUGUAAGGGGAAAAAAGUUGUAUCAUGAAUGCAUUGUUGAAGAAAGCUUUCUGUUAACCUGAUAAGAUCAUUAGAUGGAACUGAGUUUAUUCUUGCGUUUAUGCAAUCCAUUUGUUUACUUAAUGCGAGGGUCUGUCAAAAAGUGUACUGCAUCCAUGUUCCUUUAUGAUUUGGUCAUACUGUGAGUUAAUAAUUUAAUCUUGCUAUUUUUUAAGUUUAUGGCACAAUUUUGUCAAUGGUUUAAAAUAUAAUUAGGAUAUGCUUCUUACAAAUUUGAAACAUUUUUAUUCAGAUCACAUGGCAGUGGCUUCCUU